Molecule: ribosomal RNA, 638 nt
Filed under: uncultured bacterium
Lineage: Bacteria
Description: bacterial SSU rRNA
Rfam family: Bacterial small subunit ribosomal RNA
Source: RNAcentral
GUAACGCGUGAGGAACCUGCCUCGAAGAGGGGGACAACAGUUGGAAACGACUGCUAAUACCGCAUAAGCCCACGGCUCGGCAUCGAGCAGAGGGAAAAGGAGCAAUCCGCUUUGAGAUGGCCUCGCGUCCGAUUAGCUAGUUGGUGAGGUAACGGCCCACCAAGGCAACGAUCGGUAGCCGGACUGAGAGGUUGAACGGCCACAUUGGGACUGAGACACGGCCCAGACUCCUACGGGAGGCAGCAGUGGGGAAUAUUGCACAAUGGGGGAAACCCUGAUGCAGCGACGCCGCGUGGAGGAAGAAGGUCUUCGGAUUGUAAACUCCUGUUGUUGGGGAAGAUAAUGACGGUACCCAACAAGGAAGUGACGGCUAACUACGUGCCAGCAGCCGCGGUAAAACGUAGGUCACAAGCGUUGUCCGGAAUUACUGGGUGUAAAGGGAGCGCAGGCGGGAAGACAAGUUGGAAGUGAAAUCUAUGGGCUCAACCCAUAAACUGCUUUCAAAACUGUUUUUCUUGAGUAGUGCAGAGGUAGGCGGAAUUCCCGGUGUAGCGGUGGAAUGCGUAGAUAUCGGGAGGAACACCAGUGGCGAAGGCGGCCUACUGGGCACCAACUGACGCUGAGGCUCGAAAGUGUGG